AGUGAACGCUGGCGGUAGGCCUAACACAUGCAAGUCGAACGGCAGCACAGUAAGAGCUUGCUCUUACGGGUGGCGAGUGGCGGACGGGUGAGGAAUACAUCGGAAUCUACUUUUUCGUGGGGGAUAACGUAGGGAAACUUACGCUAAUACCGCAUACGACCUACGGGUGAAAGCAGGGGAUCUUCGGACCUUGCGCGAUUGAAUGAGCCGAUGUCGGAUUAGCUAGUUGGCGGGGUAAAGGCCCACCAAGGCGACGAUCCGUAGCUGGUCUGAGAGGAUGAUCGGCCACAGUGGAACUGAGACACGGUCCAGACUCCUACGGGAGGCAGCAGUGGGGAAUAUUGGACAAUGGGCGCAAGCCUGAUCCAGCCAUACCGCGUGGGUGAAGAAGGCGUUCGGGUUGUAAAGCCCUUUUGUUGGGAAAGAAAAGCAGCAGGUUAAUACCCCGCUGUUCUGACGGUACCCAAAGAAUAAGCACCGGCUAACUUCGUG
RNAcentral lists this ribosomal RNA (492 nucleotides) under uncultured bacterium. RNAcentral describes it as "partial 16S ribosomal RNA". It matches the Rfam family "Bacterial small subunit ribosomal RNA", at positions 29 to 507 of the family's 1533-position model. The record is from RNAcentral.